RNAcentral lists this ribosomal RNA (285 nucleotides) under uncultured bacterium. RNAcentral's name for it is "partial 16S ribosomal RNA". It matches the Rfam family "Bacterial small subunit ribosomal RNA", at positions 27 to 310 of the family's 1533-position model. The record is from RNAcentral.
GGACGAACGUUGGCGGCGUGCUUAAUACAUGCAAGUCAACUGAAGCAGAGGUAGUAAUAUCUCUGUGGAGGUGGCGCACGGGUGAGUAACACGUAGGUAAUCUGCCUUCAGGUCUGACAUAACCCCGAGAAAUCGGGGCUAAUAGCAGAUGAUGCAGCGGCUUGACAUCAAGACAGUUGUUAAAGCUUCGGCGCCUGAAGAUGAGCCUGCGCUGAUUAGCUAGUUGGCGGAGUAACAGCCCACCAAGGCUACGAUCAGUAGCUGGUCUGAGAGGAUGAUCAGCCA